This 247-nucleotide long non-coding RNA is filed under the name Medicago truncatula (barrel medic). Its description in RNAcentral is "long non-coding RNA (MTRU_LNC001176)". Lineage: Eukaryota; Viridiplantae; Streptophyta; Magnoliopsida; Fabales; Fabaceae. The record is from RNAcentral.
AACAACAUACUAUAAUCCCCAAUGAUCAGGUUUCAGUCUCCGUCUCGAUCUUCGCGGAUUCAGCAGCAUCCUCUGCAGAAGGAGGAUCAUCAACGGUAGGUGCCACAGCAGCAGAAUCCUUAUCAACGGCGCUAGAAUCAACGGUAGGUCUAGCCUUAACGGUUUCGAGCAUCUUCUUACUGAUUUCCUUGGAAUACACCUGAAGGAUCUCAAUCCCGUCACCACCGUCAGGAACAGCGGAGUCACC